AAUCGAACCCGGAGAUAGCUGGUUCUCUCCGAAAUAGCUUUAGGGCUAGCCUCAAUUAACAUUACCGCAGGUAAAGCACUGAAUGAGCUAGGGGGCGAAAGCUUACUGAACUCUAUCAAACUCAGAAUGGCGGAUAAUGAAUGAUUGGGAGUCACACUACGUGAGAUAAGUUUCGUGGUGGAAAGGGAAACAGCCCAGACCCACAGCUAAGGUCCCAAAGUACAGUUAAGUGGAAAAGGAUGUGAAAUUGCGCAGACAACCAGGAUGUUGGCUCAGAAGCAGCCACUCAUUCAAAGAGUGCGUAAUAGCUCACUGGUCGAGUGAUUUUGCGCCGAAAAUUUAACGGGGCUAAACUGUACACCGAAGCUUGGGAAUAUACAUUUGUAUGUUGGUAGGAGAGCGUUGUGUAAGGGGUGAAGUCGUAGCGAAAGCGGCGGUGGACUUUACACAAGUGAGAAUGCCGGAAUGAGUAGCGAGAAUUAUGUGAGAAUCAUAAUGGCCGAAAGACUAAGGUUUUAGAAGGAAGGUUCGUCCGCUUCUAGUUAGCCGGGAGCUAAGGCGAGGCCGAGAGGCGUAGUCGAUGCACAUACGGUUGAGAUUCCGUAGCUACCUUGCAUUUAAGCGAAGGGACACAUUUGAAGGGCAUGACCCGGGCGUUGGUUGACCCGGGCGUAAGGGACCGAAAAUAAGUAGGGAAGCAUGCUUGGAUGGUGGCGAGAAAAGCUUCGUGUAUAUAAGCAGGGUACCCGUACUGCAAACCGACACAGGUAGUCAGGAAGAGGAUUCUAAGGCCAUCGGGAGAAGCGUUGUUAAGGAACUCGGCAAAUUGACCCCGUAACUUCGGAAUAAGGGGUGCUCACGCGAGUGAGCCGCAGUGAAUAGGUCCAGGCAACUGUUUAUCAAAAACACAGCUCUCUGCUAAAUCGUAAGAUGACGUAUAGGGGGUGACACCUGCCCGGUGCUGGAAGGUUAAGAGGAGGGGUGCAAGCUCCGAAUUGAAGCCCCAGUAAACGGCGGCCGUAACUAUAACGGUCCUAAGGUAGCGAAAUUCCUUGUCGGGUAAGUUCCGACCCGCACGAAUGGUGUAACGAUCUGGGCACUGUCUCAACUACCCACCCGGCGAAAUUGUAGUACCGGUGAAGAUGCCGGUUACCCGCGGCAAGACGGAAAGACCCCAUGGAGCUUCACUGUAGCCUGAUAUUGGGUCUCGGUAUUUUAUGUACAGGAUAGGCGGGAGACUUGGAAACCAGCACGCCAGUGUUGGCGGAGUCACCCUUGGGAUACCGCUCUUAAAGUAUUGAGAUUCUAACCUGCAGCCAUGAAUCUGGCUGGGGGACAUUGUCAGGUGGGCAGUUUGACUGGGGCGGUCGCCUCCAAAAGAGUAACGGAGGCGCUCAAAGGUUCGCUCAGCAUGGACGGAAACCAUGCCAAAGAGUGCAAACGCAAAAGCGAGCCUAACUGCGAGACUGACGGGUCGAGCAGUAACGAAAGUUGGAGUUAGUGAUCCGGCGGUAUGUGAAUGGAAAUGCCGUCGCUCAACGGAUAAAAGCUACCCUGGGGAUAACAGGCUGAUCUCCCCCAAGAGUCCACAUCGACGGGGAGGUUUGGCACCUCGAUGUCGGCUCAUCGCAUCCUGGGGCUGAAUUCGGUCCCAAGGGUUUGGCUGUUCGCCAAUUAAAGCGGUACGCGAGCUGGGUUCAGAACGUCGUGAGACAGUUCGGUCCCUAUCUGUCGUGGGCGUAGGAUAUUUGAAAGGAGCUGUCCCUAGUACGAGAGGACCGGGAUGGACGCACCUCUGGUGAACCAGUUGUCACGCCAGUGGCACGGCUGGGCAGCUAAGUGCGGAACGGAUAAACGCUGAAAGCAUCUAAGCGUGAAGCCGACCUUAAGAUAAGAUAUCCGUUCUUCGGAAUAAGACCCCUUGUAGACUACGAGGUUGAUAGGCUUAAAGUGUAAGCAUGGUGACAUGUUUAGCUUGCAAGUACUAAUCGGUCGAUUGCUUUUCCU
Molecule: ribosomal RNA, 2007 nt
Filed under: human gut metagenome
Description: bacterial LSU rRNA
Rfam family: Bacterial large subunit ribosomal RNA
Source: RNAcentral